UGCCUUGCCCACCAGAAGCACGAUCCCUACAACAGUUACAAUAAAGUCGACUGAUAUAGACAGUUCCAAACAUGAAAAAUCCAGAGAAUCCUACACUCCUGAAGAUGUAUCUGGAAGAACAGAAGUAAUCUUAAAUACUAUGGCCAUGGUUUUAAAUAAAGAUACACAAGUAGAUACGGCUGCUAUUGCUGGAAGCGCUGUGGGGUGUAUUCUUCUGAUCAUAUUAGUAAUUAUAGUUGCCGUCAUACUAAAACGAAGAAUGAUUGGGGCUUUGAUCGACAGUCGCUUGAAAGGCAGUCCAAGAGUGUCCAAUCCAGUAUACGAAGCACCUGGCGAUGGUUACAAUAAUGUUAUUUUCAAGAACGAUAAUUCUCCAUCUGUAAACGUGAUUAAA
Long non-coding RNA from Patella vulgata (common limpet), 394 nucleotides. RefSeq lists it as uncharacterized. Lineage: Eukaryota; Metazoa; Mollusca; Gastropoda; Patellidae. The transcript has 3 exons. The record is from RefSeq and is a predicted model, not a curated record.